AAAACGACUCUCGGCAACGGAUAUCUCGGCUCUCGCAUCGAUGAAGAACGUAGCGAAAUGCGAUACUUGGUGUGAAUUGCAGAAUCCCGUGAACCAUCGAGUCUUUGAACGCAAGUUGCGCCCGACGCCUUCGGGCCGAGGGCACGUCUGCCUGGGUGUCACGC
Molecule: ribosomal RNA, 164 nt
Filed under: Leptopus chinensis
Lineage: Eukaryota; Viridiplantae; Streptophyta; Magnoliopsida; Malpighiales; Phyllanthaceae
Description: 5.8S ribosomal RNA
Rfam family: 5.8S ribosomal RNA
About the family: 5.8S ribosomal RNA (5.8S rRNA) is a component of the large subunit of the eukaryotic ribosome. It is transcribed by RNA polymerase I as part of the 45S precursor that also contains 18S and 28S rRNA.
Source: RNAcentral